GUUGGCUUGGAAGCAGCCAUUCAUUUAAAGAGUGCGUAACAGCUCACUAGUCGAGCGGUUCGGCAUGGAUAAUAAUCGGGCAUAAGCAUAUUACCGAAGCUAUGGAUUUGUACGUAAGUACAACUGGUAGGAGAGCAUUCUAUCGGCGUAGAAGCUGAGUCGUGAGGCUUGGUGGAGCUUAUAGAAAAGAAAAUGUAGGCAUAAGUAACGAUAAAGCGGGCGAGAAACCCGCUCACCGAAAGACUAAGGUUUCCUCAGCCAUGCUAAUCAGCUGAGGGUUAGUCGGGGCCUAACGCGAACCCGAGAGGGGUAGUGGAUGGACAUAGGGUUAAUAUUCCCUAACUUGCUCACGAGGAAAGUGACGGUUCAAUGAGACUUAAGAAGACUGACGGAAUAGUUAAGACCUAGCCUACGGGCGAAGUUGAUUAAGAGCAGUUGGAUCCAAGAAAAGCGAGUGAAGCAACCCGUACCAUAAACCGACACAGGUAGUCGAGGAGAGAAUCCUAAGGUGCUCGAGUGAGUCGUGGCUAAGGAACUAGGCAAAAUAGUCUCGUAACUUCGGGAGAAGAGACGCCAACAGCGAUGUUGGCCGCAGUGAAGAGGCCCAGGCGACUGUUUAACAAAAACACAGGACUCUGCUAAAUCGAAAGAUGCUGUAUAGGGUCUGACACCUGCCCGGUGCUGGAAGGUUAAGGAAGGUGCUUAGCGUAAGCGAAGGCAUUGACUGAAGCCCCAGUAAACGGCGGCCGUAACUAUAACGGUCCUAAGGUAGCGAAAUUCCUUGUCGGGUAAGUUCCGACCUGCACGAAUGGUGUAACGAUCUGGGCACUGUCUCAGCCACGAGCUCGGUGAAAUUGUAGUAUCGGUGAAGAUGCCGAUUACCCGCAAUGGGACGAAAAGACCCUGUGAACCUUUACUAUAACUUCGUAUUGACUUUGAGUAAGUAAUGUGUAGGAUAGGUGGGAGACGUAGAAGCAGGCACGCUAGUGUUUGUGGAGUCGCUGUUGAAAUACCACCCUUUGCUUACUUAGAGCCUAACUUCUGAAUGGAAGGACAUUGCGUGGUGGGUAGUUUGACUGGGGUGGUCGCCUCCAAAAGAGUAACGGAGGCUUUCAAAGGUACCCUCAGCACGCUUGGUAACCGUGCGUAGAGUGUAAUGGCAAAAGGGUGCUUGACUGUGAGACCAACAAGUCGAUCAGGUGCGAAAGCAGGACAUAGUGAUCCGGUGGUUCCGAGUGGAAGGGCCAUCGCUCAUAGGAUAAAAGGUACUCCGGGGAUAACAGGCUAGUCUCCCCCAAGAGCUCACAUCGACGGGGAGGUUCGGCACCUCGAUGUCGGCUCGUCACAUCCUGGGGCUGGAGAAGGUCCCAAGGGUUG
RNAcentral lists this ribosomal RNA (1377 nucleotides) under human oral metagenome. RNAcentral's name for it is "bacterial LSU rRNA". It matches the Rfam family "Bacterial large subunit ribosomal RNA", at positions 1100 to 2574 of the family's 2925-position model. The record is from RNAcentral.